Molecule: transfer RNA, 72 nt
Filed under: Marmota monax (woodchuck)
Lineage: Eukaryota; Metazoa; Chordata; Mammalia; Rodentia; Sciuridae
Description: tRNA.Ala
Rfam family: tRNA
About the family: Transfer RNA (tRNA) molecules are approximately 80 nucleotides in length. Their secondary structure includes four short double-helical elements and three loops (D, anti-codon, and T loops).
Source: RNAcentral
GGGAUAUAGCUCAGUUGGUAGAGUGCUUGCCUUGCAUGCAAAGCGCCCUGGGUUCAAUCCCCAGUACCACCA